GAGUUAUUAGCAGAAGAAAAAUCAAAACCCAUUCCAAUUAUGCCAGCCAGUCCACAAAAAGGUCAUGCUGUGAAUCUGCUAGAUGUGGUGAGCCACGACAAUUUGGUUUAGGUAAUACGGUGACCAAGUUAGUAGGAAAAUGAUUAGACAGAAAGAACUAAAAGUCUCAAAAACUUAUAUAACUUUCAGAUGUUAAAUGCUGCCAUUUCAGUGUCACAAAAGUAAUAUUUUUCCCCCCUCAUCCCUAUUUAGCCAGUUCCUGUUGCACGAAAACUAUCUGCUCGGGAACAGCGAGAUUGUGAGGUUAUUGAACGACUCAUUAAAUCAUAUUUUCUCAUUGUCAGAAAGAAUAUUCAAGACAGUGUGCCAAAGGCAGUAAUGCAUUUUUUGGUUAAUCAUGUGAAAGACACUCUUCAGAGUGAGCUAGUAGGCCAGCUGUAUAAAUCAUCCUUAUUGGAUGAUCUUCUGACAGAAUCUGAGGACAUGGCACAGCGCAGGAAAGAAGCAGCUGAUAUGCUAAAGGCAUUACAAGGAGCCAGUCAAAUUAUUGCUGAAAUCCGAGAGACUCAUCUUUGGUGAAGAGAACUAUGUAAUACUGAGACUUUGUUGACUCAAAACUUGCUAGUUACUGCCUACCUGAGUAGAAUCUUAUUUAUGAACUCCUGUGUAUUGCAAUGGUAUGAAUCUGCUCAUGUGGAGACUGGCUAUAAACUGAAAAGUGUAUUCCAUAUUGCAGAACAAAUCACACAUUU
Molecule: small RNA, 752 nt
Filed under: Pongo abelii (Sumatran orangutan)
Lineage: Eukaryota; Metazoa; Chordata; Mammalia; Primates; Hominidae
Description: retained intron
Source: RNAcentral